This is a long non-coding RNA of Alligator sinensis (Chinese alligator), 632 nucleotides long. RefSeq lists it as uncharacterized. NCBI's taxonomy places the organism in Eukaryota, Metazoa, Chordata, Crocodylia, Alligatoridae. The transcript has 4 exons. The record is from RefSeq and is a predicted model, not a curated record.
GUCUGGUCACAGCCUUGAUCCUUCUAUCUUCAUCCUCCUCGUUGCCCUCACACAGCCCCCCCCCCCCCUUCUUCUUGCUUGACCUCCCCCCAGAAUUAAGGAGGCUUCUUUAAGAAGCAGCACUAUGUUUACUAGCAUAAGAAAAGCCAUUGGCAUUUAGGCGUUUUGCUACAAAGCCCUGAAAAUGGAGGAGCGCGGAAUGCCAUAUACGGCAGCUCUGUGCCCUGGCUGUCUCUUCACAUCUAUUUAUGCUCGCGCCUGCAUGAAAUGUGGACUUGUAAAUGGAGCCAUGAGUGCAUCCAGCCGUCCCUCCCUCCCCACGCACCUCGGCCUGCGGAGGUCUCCAGUUGCUUCUCGAGACACGCAGGGAUGAGCCCAUGUGCGGGUUUCCCGAGGACUACUGGAGUCCGGGAGAAAAACGGAGGAUCACUUCUGCGACACAUCCAUGGACAUCGCCUAUUUACACUCUCGCUCCUUGCAAUUAAAGAGACGUGGAUCACCCUCACCCCCUCUCCAACACACACCUCCCAGAGAAUUCAUUGCCAAGCUCUAGCUAUGAAAUACGCGACUGAAUAAAAGAAGCAAGCCCAGAAAUAAUCCAGGUUUUAUAGCGAAGCAACAAUUUGUCCUCC